GAUGAACGCUGGCGGCGUGCCUAAUACAUGCAAGUCGAGCGAACGGACGAGAAGCUUGCUUCUCUGAUGUUAGCGGCGGACGGUGAGUAACACGUGGAUAACCUACCUAUAAGACUGGGAUAACUUCGGGAAACCGGAGCUAAUACCGGAUAAUAUUUUGAACCGCAUGGUUCAAAAGUGAAAGACGGUCUUGCUGUCACUUAUAGAUGGAUCCGCGCUGCAUUAGCUAGUUGGUAAGGUAACGGCUUACCAAGGCAACGAUGCAUAGCCGACCUGAGAGGGUGAGCGGCCCACAUGGAACUGAGACACGGCCCAGACCCCAAGGGGGGGCAGCAGUAGGGAAUUUUCCGCAAUGGGCGAAACCCUGACGGGGCAACGCCGGGUGGGGGAUGAAGGUUUUCGGAUGGUAAAACUCUUUUAUUGGGGAAAAAAAUAUGUGAAAGUAACUGUGCACCUCUUGACGGUACCAAAUCAAAAAGCCACGGCUAACUACGU
Molecule: ribosomal RNA, 495 nt
Filed under: uncultured bacterium
Lineage: Bacteria
Description: partial 16S ribosomal RNA
Rfam family: Bacterial small subunit ribosomal RNA
Source: RNAcentral